Molecule: ribosomal RNA, 615 nt
Filed under: uncultured bacterium
Lineage: Bacteria
Description: bacterial SSU rRNA
Rfam family: Bacterial small subunit ribosomal RNA
Source: RNAcentral
AGAGUUUGAUCAUGGCUCAGAUUGAACGCUGGCGGCAGGCUUAACACAUGCAAGUCGAGCGGUAACAGAGAUAGCUUGCUAUCUGCUGACGAGCGGCGGACGGGUGAGUAAUGCUUGGGAAUAUGCCAUAUGGUGGGGGACAACAGUUGGAAACGACUGCUAAUACCGCAUAACGUCUACGGACCAAAGAGGGGGAUUCUUCGGAACCUCUUGCCAUUUGAUUAGCCCAAGUGAGAUUAGCUAGUUGGUGAGGUAAUGGCUCACCAAGGCGACGAUCUCUAGCUGGUUUGAGAGGAUGAUCAGCCACACUGGGACUGAGACACGGCCCAGACUCCUACGGGAGGCAGCAGUGGGGAAUAUUGCACAAUGGGCGAAAGCCUGAUGCAGCCAUGCCGCGUGUGUGAAGAAGGCCUUCGGGUUGUAAAGCACUUUCAGUUGUGAGGAAAGGGGUGUAGUUAAUAGCUGCAUCCUGUGACGUUAGCAACAGAAGAAGCACCGGCUAACUCCGUGCCAGCAGCCGCGGUAAUACGGAGGGUGCGAGCGUUAAUCGGAAUUACUGGGCGUAAAGCGUGCGUAGGCGGUUUGUUAAGCAAGAUGUGAAAGCCCAGGGCUCAA